Long non-coding RNA from Sciurus carolinensis (gray squirrel), 1839 nucleotides. RefSeq lists it as uncharacterized. The transcript is spliced from 2 exons. The record is from RefSeq and is a predicted model, not a curated record. NCBI's taxonomy places the organism in Eukaryota, Metazoa, Chordata, Mammalia, Rodentia, Sciuridae.
UUCCUCCAAUAAGAAGUGCUGCUUGGCUCAUGCCUCCAUUAGCAGACGCUUGGAAAUAAUGCACCAUGGCAGUUUUUCAAGGAUUUUUUUCCCCUCUUUCCUCCCUCCAGAGAGAAAAACAAAAGGGUAAAGAUGGCUGGAGGGAUUGGAUCAGAACAUUGUUUUACUGGAAUCUGCAGCUGUUUCUGGACGGCUGGAGUCUCUGAAGGGAAACCAUGUGCUCCAGGUCUGAAGGAAAUGGUUCGGCUCCAGUCUGUCCCGAGUCUUCUGGAGAGGAAUUUUUCUCAUUGUUCCAAAGGUUGCUACCCACCAAAGACCUGGACUCCCUCUCCAGAGAGCGUGUGCGUCAGGGAAGAGGCCUAGGGAAUGCAGACCCGGCCAGGGCACAGAAGACAAGGUGAAGUGCCAGCCAAAGGCAAAGGCGGAAAGAGAACCGGCCCUUGCUGAGGACCCAGAGCAUUCUCUGGGUUCUGGCCCAGGCCUGCAGCUCACAAAAGGUUCACCCUUCAUUUCUAAGAAUCUGAGGGCUAGGGAGAGCCAAGAAGAUUGCCAUUUUCACCCAGCAGGCAAAAUAAAAAUGGGGCUGAUAGAGGCAGGUGGAUCCAGAUAAAAUAAUGAAUGUGCAAGAGACUCAUUCUGGCGUCUUGUCCAGUGUGAAAGGCUGGCUGUCUCUACAUACAGAGCAAAAUAAACCCAUACACACCCUUGAACUCCUAGGUAUGGAUUCCUGGAGCUGCUGGAGGGAGCCUCUAAACGGUGCUUUCCUCCCCCGGUGCUCUCUCUGCGUGGUGCUGUCAUCUCUGGGGAAGGAGCCGGUGGAACCCCUGGCAGUGAGGCAGAGGCUGGGCACUGUGGUUACCUACCCACCUCCCGACGUCCAUCCCAACACAUCUGGGAAUUUGAAGUUCUGGUGAAGCUGCUGGAGCUCUUGAGCAGGAGCCAGUGUCCCACUUGGAAGCUUCGGUCCUCUGCCAGUUCACGCGAGGUGGAGGCGGAGCUGCCCUGCUCCCGUCCUCACGGUUGGUGUGGUCGCCAUUCGCAGAGCAUGAAGGAACUCAGCCUGCCUGCUCCACUCCCGUCUGCCUCUUCUAGGACCCAGCACACCUCCUGAUGCAGCCUUUCCUGGUGCUGGGGAUGGAAGGGCCACUCAUAUCUCCAAACCCAGCUCUCUUCGGCCCUACUCAGGUCUCCUGGGAGUCAGUCCCCAGGACUCCAUCUGACACGGGGUGGGGGGAGUCAGUCCUCUCUCUGGAUGCUAGGAGAACCCAAGCCUCAUGUGUGUCCUCCAGGCUUCUCUGCACACUGGUCCCAGGUAGCUGUGCUGGGCUACUUGGAGAAAUGGUUAGUAUUUUCAUUUGAAUUGGGAGAGGAAGGCCAGAGGCGGUCACCCUCAUGCCAGCAUCGCCUGGCUUUAGGGAACUGAGGGGAAACACUGCACAUGCAAAUGCUCAAUUCGUGUAUCAGACUUUGGACCAAAAGCACAUGGAUUACCAACAUCAUAGUUGAAAGAGGAGAUUGGUUUAUGUUUUGUAACCCAAGAGGUAGAGAGGAAUUGUGAGGAGGGAGCCAGAAAAGAGGGGAAGAGGAGGAAAGGGUUGUGUGAUCACCAUCUGAUCCAGGUUGAAUCUCUAUGGUUAAUCAACUGCAAAAAGUUGAACUAAUGGUUCAAGAGAGAUUUUUAUGAGAUCCUGGGCACACGGAGAACUGCUUUAGGAAGGGUUGAAUUAUAAUCAUAAAAGUUCCUAGGUCCUUUUGCCUUCUUGGGACCCUUCUUCCAUAAAAAAUUUGAAAGUUAUAUUUUAUAACCACAUUGGUAUAAAGGUGAAUAUUGUAAUACUA